This 21-nucleotide ribosomal RNA is filed under the name Chamaedrilus cognettii. Its description in RNAcentral is "partial 28S ribosomal RNA". Lineage: Eukaryota; Metazoa; Annelida; Clitellata; Enchytraeida; Enchytraeidae. The record is from RNAcentral.
AACACUGACUUCGACCUGAGA